Molecule: long non-coding RNA, 3467 nt
Filed under: Homo sapiens (human)
Lineage: Eukaryota; Metazoa; Chordata; Mammalia; Primates; Hominidae
Description: HSALNT0091916
Source: RNAcentral
CUCAGUCCCGCACUGCCGUCCCGCCCCGCCCUGUGCCCGCCAAUCCACGACGCCAUAAUCCCCCGCCGUGUCCCUCCCUUCCUCCCCAUUGGUUGUGACCGCACGUCAGCCCGACUCAGCCUGCCAAUCGCAGGACCCAGAGGGCCCUCUCCCCCGCCCGCUCAGUGUAAUUCGAGUUCCCUGUCCAUCGACUCCAAGUCCUCUCUCCUGCGCCGCAUGCUGCCUCGCGCUCCCUUUCCUUCCCCCUCUACCCCCUUCCGCGAUUUACUGUUUCCUCGCGCCCAACAGAAAUGGGCGACCGCAAGUCUUACUCUCGCCGGCGUUACAAAGGUACCGGCCUUUGACCUCUCCUUGAAUUAAUGUGAUCCGAUUCAUCUUCCCUCCAAGUUUUUUUUUUAAUUUAAUUACCCCUCCCUGCCCUGGCCCUGCCAGCUUCAGCUCCACCUCCUUGGAGGAAGCAGGCGCUUUUACAGAGCGCCGCGCGGCAGGUCCCCUUUCAGCCAAUCACAUCUGCGGAACCGCGUUCCGAGUCGUUUGAGGGUGUCUGGUAAAGCAAGCUCGGGGCGGUGUUGGAAAUCUGAAUGUCACCCGCGGUCCGGAGCAGAUAGGAUGGGCUGGGAAGGUACCCGCGAACUGCCGCCGGAAUUCGCUGGCAGCUGUGCGAGGCUCAGGUGUUCUAGUUUGACAUUUCCCUUCCUGAAAGCGGCAAGGAGAGGUCUAAGAGUGGGCAAACUUCAACGUUCGGUUACAGUGUAAUUAAUGAGAGUGGUGGGUUUUUAUGCAGUGUAAUUAUGCCACGAUUUGUUGUUGCUCAGUGGCUUUUUCACAAAUUUCUACAGAUUAUUUAAAUUUUCCACAAAUUUCUACGGAUUAAUUCAAUGGCAGCUCACUUUCUCCUUUUAUGAUCGGAUGGGUCCGAAAGUGAGGAAAAAGACAAUUGUCUACAAAGAAAGAGGCUGCCAAGUGGAGACAGAAAAGCAGUUAUGAGACUGAUGAUAGAUUCCAAUUUGUUAUCGGUAGGUGUGAAGUGGUAUCUAAUCUCAAGAAUGACCUCAAGGCUGAGAGACACUUGAUACCGCCCUCGCCUUUGCCUUUCCCCAAACAGCACAGGGUUGCCAUUUAAAAUCCACUAACAUCCAAAUCGUAGUUGGCAACUGUACCCGCUAUGUUACUCAGAAUCUCUAAUUAGGAAUUUCUUAUCAACCACGGACAUGCUGAUAUUCCACACAUGUUUAAAUGAGCUAAUCAAUGGACUAGGAUAAUUGAGGGGCAAACCUUCAGUCUCACCAGCUCACUUAUUAGACACAUUUUGAAUUGCCCAAACCACUAGGUCCCUAAUGAAGGAUGCCUAUCUGUUUUUACUGUAACUUUUCAUUACUUACUUGUUACAUACUAUGAUGACUUAAGGGGUAAACACACCUUUCACUAUCCACAAUAUAAUCCAAGCCUGUGUAUAUCCAUAAUACGCUUAAUAAUAGCUUCACAGUUGCCUGGAGAAAUGACUUUUGGGGAGGAAGUUAUAUGACAUUUUUAGAUAAUGCUGCGGACUAAGUAUUAUUAGAGCAAAAAUUUACUAUCUUGCAAUUACUUCAUAUAAUUAGAUACAGUUCAUGACAUACUAAGAAGCAUCUUAAAAAAGUAAUCAAACAUAAUACUGAUUUUCAAAGUAUUUGGCUAACAAAGACUACAUUUUUUUCUCUUAACCCAAGAUUUAAUUCGACCCCUAUAAAAGCAGCAUCUCACUUUAUUGAUCAUACUUCAAAGCAUAUACUCAAUAGUUAAGGAUCAAUAAUUUCUGUUUGGUUUGGGUCUUUCCACUCGUGACUUUCUAUGAUUUUUUACUCCCCUCCCCCUAUAUCCUGUUCCAUAAGUACACGGGUGCUCUAGAUUUUCCUAUCAAUAGAGGGCGUCCUCGAGUCAUUGCAAAUCCUGGUGUCGUUAAACGGAACUGUUCUUCAGAGGAAAAACUUCAUCUCUAUAAGAAAGGAAGGAGGAGACCUGAACAGUACAUCCGGAGAAUCCAGCAAAGCAUACUACGGCAUGAACGUGCAAGUGGACAGAAUUAAAACACAUGCCAGAAACACUAAUGGAUUCUAAACAAGAUGCAGUUUCAUUUCCUGAGCCUAUACGUGAUGUUUUUAACUGUUCUCCAGUUAAUAUGUCUCCAUUUCCAGAAAUCUAACAGGAGAAUCUCUGACUGCUUAACAGAUCACCUAAGCUUGCGAUUUGUGCAAUCCUUUCUAGAGUAAGGGCUCCCCGGCUGCUCCCCGGCCACUGUGUACCCAAAGCAGCGGCUGAAAUAGCCCGGAGUCCAACAGCUCAGCGUCAAGCAGCUCGUGGUUUGUACUUACAUCAUUUUUUUUUUCAGAGCAAGAGUGAAAGUUUAUUAAAAAGCGUUAGAACAGUAAGGAAAGGAAAGGAGAGAAAAUAAGGAAAGUACAACUUGGAAGAGGGCCAAGCGGGCGACUUGAGAAAUCAAGUGCCUGUACUUACAUCAUUCUUAACCCUUUCGCUCCUGGAGGGGGCUCAGCGGGAUCAGGGGGCCCCUGAACUUCGGAACACGCAGGACCUGGGUGUGAGAGAAGAGUCCCAAAGCUUGGCGUGAGCAAUGCACUCGCGGAGGGAGAGAGCCCGGGGCUUGCGGGGGGCUCAUCACCCGCUCGUAGACAACGGGCCCCCGCAAUCCCUGCGGGCUCCGCCGCUGCUCUCACCGCUCAAAACGGCAGGUGCAAAAAGCAUUUGGGAGCCGCUUGCCAGCGCGCGGAGGCAAACGCAGCCGCCGGUCUUGACUGCCAUCGCCCAAGGGGUUCCUCUGGGCUCUCCCGCGAGCCAACAGCCGACCUCUCUCCAGCCUAGUCUGGGAAACUCCAGCCAACCCAGGAUCCCAUUUUGUAGUCCCGGGCAGACCCGAAACCCCUGAAAGAACUCCACUCCAGAAGACGCCAGAACAAGUUCCCACGAAUUUCAUGGGCGCCCUUCACAUGAAAACCUCAGCUCCCCUAUCCUCAAGGAACGGGGAAGGGCGCCGGGGAGGGACUUCGGUGGCCAGCUGUCCCUGGGUCGUGGGCGCUGUUUGCUCUGCGGAGCGCCAGCCCUGCACACAGCGGGUGCGGGAAGCGUUGAUGGGAGGCUGGAGGGCGGGGUGAGCGUAAACUAGGAUCUAGCCGGUUCCAGGCGUGGAGAAUCAAAUGUGGUCCUAGAUCUGUAAGUUGCGAAAAGGGGCUUUUGGGAGCGUCAGAGCUUUCUCACUCCGGUCCCCCGCCGCCUUGAGGCUGGCAGAUUUAUACCCCACAGGUGGAUGGAGACCUAAACAAAACAGUCCCGGCCGCUGCCUGCCGCUCGCCCCCCACGUCCCCCGGGCCCACCGCAAACUUCAACAAAAUAAACAACUCACCACAGGCAUUCCCUUGUCUGCAGCGCGACGCUUGCCAGCUGGGAAAAUAAGCCGCAAGCCACGCGGCCGAGGC